ACGCAGAGCUUGAACCCAGGAACCGCAACAUCAUGACGUGAGCUGAAACCAAGAGUUGGAUGCUCAACUGACUGAGCCAUCCAGGCGCCCCGGAAAAAGUGUUGCUUAAUAAGGGUCUUUGGAAAGGCGGGCAACUGCCUUCUACCGGAUAUCUCCUGUGUUCUAGGAGCUUUACCCGUGCGAUCCGUCGGCGUUAACAUCGACACUAUGAAGUUACACUCAGAAAG
Molecule: long non-coding RNA, 227 nt
Organism: Herpailurus yagouaroundi (jaguarundi)
Lineage: Eukaryota; Metazoa; Chordata; Mammalia; Carnivora; Felidae
Exons: 2
Source: RefSeq, a predicted model, not a curated record